Molecule: ribosomal RNA, 449 nt
Filed under: uncultured bacterium
Lineage: Bacteria
Description: partial 16S ribosomal RNA
Rfam family: Bacterial small subunit ribosomal RNA
Source: RNAcentral
AACGAACGCUGGCGGCAUGCCUAACACAUGCAAGUCGAACGAGAUCUUCGGGUCUAGUGGCGCACGGGUGCGUAACGCGUGGGAAUCUGCCCUUUGGUUCGGAAUAACAGUUGGAAACGACUGCUAAUACCGGAUGAUGACGAAAGUCCAAAGAUUUAUCGCCAGAGGAUGAGCCCGCGUAGGAUUAGCUAGUUGGUGGGGUAAGGGCGCACCAAGGCGACGAUCCUUAGCUGGUCUGAGAGGAUGAUCAGCCACACUGGGACUGAGACACGGCCCAGACUCCUACGGGAGGCAGCAGUGGGUAAUAUUGGACAAUGGGCGAAAGCCUGAUCCAGCAAUGCCGCGUGAGUGAUGAAGGCCUUAGGGUUGUAAAGCUCUUUUACCCGGGAUGAUAAUGACAGUACCGGGAGAAUAAGCUCCGGCUAACUCCGUGCCAGCCGCCGCCGUAA